GCAUUUUUUGAAAGUAAAAACAAUAUCAUCAUCCUUUUUCCUUUCCUCUUUUGAGUCUUUUCUGAUCCUAUCAACAUCAAUGGCGUACAAUUGCACGAAGAGGAUUCUCCGCACUACUAUCAAUGUGUUUGCUAUUGCUUUGCUCUUGAUUUUUGUUUUUCCAGCUGCUGCAGCUCGUUUGCGUCCUCAAGAUUACAUCACUGUACCACCAGCCAGUUGUAAUACUGUAGGAUACAUCCCCAUACCUAAGUGUCCACCAUCAAAGUGAAUGAACUUGUCAAUCAAUCUUCACAUAUGCAUAUUGGUUCCUUUCUUUAGUUUCUUUUUUCAUUCGUGGUUUCUGAUUAGUUGAACUUGAUUUGAGUAGAAUCACCUAUAGGGUGUGGGUGGGGCUGUAAAUAUAGAUACUAUUGGUUCAAGUUUUAAUGUUUUCCUUUUGUAAAAAUACAUGGAAUAAAGAUUAUUUUCUUUCUUCUCUCGACGUCGUUCGUCAUGAAUACUCACCAUUAUUAUAAAUAAAACAGGAGAAUGAAAACAUGCUCGUUAACUUCCUACUUCAGGAAAGGAGAACAAAGCAUCGGAAAAGCACCAACCUUUUUCUUCCAUAUAUAUCUUGAAGAGAAAAUUAUCAGA
Molecule: long non-coding RNA, 633 nt
Filed under: Durio zibethinus
Lineage: Eukaryota; Viridiplantae; Streptophyta; Magnoliopsida; Malvales; Malvaceae
Description: long non-coding RNA (DZIB_LNC001760)
Source: RNAcentral